CAAUUAUUUUUUUUUCAUAAUUCGAACUUUUAAGUUUUCCUGAGUGACUAUUUAGUAAAAAGUCAACAAUUAAAAUGCAACGUUUGAUAAUUAUCGUGUUUAUAGUUUUUUCUGUCAUCGCCCAUACCGGACAUACUGCACGCGAUACAUCUACUAAAAACGGAAAACCUAGUUUAAUUCCGAAAUCAAUAAGUCGCCGUUUAAGUAAUUAUAUCUUAGUUUUAAUUAUUUUAAAAAACAAAAAUGAUGAUUUUUACAUGUACAUAAUAUGUACCUAAUAUACAAUAUAUACUAUUAUAUUAAUAUAAUAUGAUUAAUGUACCCAAUGUAGCAAACCCACUGUGUACUAUUCUAUUUCGUGGAAGUUGCGGAAAUGUUUAACGGAAAUAUGCUAUAUUACAUCAACUGAAUCACCAAUUAGGUUACUGUAAUGUUUCUGAAAUAUCGCUAAUGUUCCUAACUUUUAAUGCGAUGUUUAAGCUAAGCUACUUUAUUAAUCUUCCAACAAUAUUUAAUAUCGAAGUUACAUAAAUAUUUCAAAAUAAUAUCUUCUAACUUUUUCUGACGCAGAUUACAAUGUAUUUAAUUUACAUAUAAGGACAUAUGCAGUUUAUAUUUAAGUACUAUAAUAUGCAAGGCGAUUUAUCCUUGAUAAGGACACUAUUAUUGUAUCGAAAUAUAUAAACUAUUAUCGAAAUACUUUUUUUGGACAGUUUACAAAUAAAGCAGUUCAAAAAUAUUACAUUUCAGUUAUUAUUUGUCACCCGAAAUGCAUCUUAAAUUAUAUAACAUCUUUUUGUGGAAUUUUUAAUAAGUGGGUUAGUAGCUAAAAGUUUUAAAAAACAAGGAUGAUAACAAAAAACGAUAAUGUAAGAUUUUAGAGUUGUUAGAUUUAUAAAUUUCCAAAAAAACAUUACUAGUAAUAAUUAUAACUUUCUGAAAAUAUAAAUACUUUCUGAGAUAAUGAGUGCUUUUUGAGGGUUGAUCAUCUAUAUAAUAAAAUAUAUAUAUAAUUAAUAGCGUUUCGGAGAUUAUACCCAAAAAAAAUACUACAUUUUAUACAAUGUAUUAAUGAAGCAAGCUCUAGACAGUUAUUGAAAAUCCUAUAUUCUGUAGGUAAAAUAUACCCGAAUUCGGUUUUAAUUUUGAAUUUAAUUUUUUUCAUGCAAAAAUUACUAAUAUUAAAUCAAUAUAUAAGUAUAACUUUUUUUAUAUAGUAAUAUGGAUUAUGAUUCUAGAUAGGUUAAAUAGAUUAAAUAGGUUAAAUUAAAUACUUGCUGAAUAUGUAACUAAAGUAUAAUUAAAAUGUAUUAAAUAAAUUUCGGUGAUAUUUAAAAAUAUUAUUUAUUUUUAGGCUUUACAGCGAAUGAAAGUAAAAGAUUUUUAAAUAUUUUAUGUUUAUUUGAUGUUUUAAAAUGUAUUCUAGUUGAUUAAUUGGGAGGGGCUUAAACUAUCAAAAAACUAUUGAUCUAGAAUAUAAUUCUUUGGACCGAAUUGCACGGAAAAUAAAACCGAAAAUCAGUAUUUAUCACGAAAGUAUUAACUCAUUUGAAAUAGAAAAAUCUUGCUGAAUUCCAGAUUUGUUAUUAUAGCUUUAUCAUAUUUUAUUUUGUUCGUUAUAAUUCCAUAAGAUAAAUAUAUGUAACGAGUUGUUCAUUUCGAAGUUUCGUCAAUUGACCUCGUUGGAUGACACGUCAAAUAAUAAACUCUGUAAUAAUAUCCAUAUUAUCCAAUGAUUACAGUGACAAUUGAUUGAUACAUAUUAUGAAUUUAUACUAAAGUCAACAGUUUUAUACAUUUUCGUUUGAAGAAAAAGCAUGUAAGAUUAUAUUGGCAACAAAAUUUAUAGUUUGUAAAAAUCAUGCUCUGAUUUUUUAAUGCCAUGACUUAUAAGAUGUGGCUUUUACGUGUUGUGCCUUGGCACAUAAUUAUUCAAAAUUCCUAAUAACUUUUAUUAAUUUAACUACUUGAAUACCUACAUAGUUUUAAUGUACGCUAAAUGGUUCAUUAAUAAUACGGUUAUUAGAAAUGCAAAAUAUCAAUUUCUAUUUAUAUAAAAUAUUAAUUGUGUUACAAUUUAUAACUAAAUGUGUUAAUGAAUUAAUAUUAUACAAUUUUCUGUUAUAAUAUAAACUAUUAAUUAUUUUUUUUGACCUUAGCACCAAAAGGUAAUUUUAAUCUAACCUAAUCAAUUCCUAAUAGAUACAAUAAAGUACAUCAAUAUUAUAAAACAAAUUAUAAAAUAUUAAUUAUAAUUAUUCAUAAUAUUCAUGCUCAAUUUAAAGAAAAAAUGAUAUAAUUAAUAUAAACGUGUAUAUAAUUGUGCGAGUUAAUGAGAUUUUAUUUAAUUGAUAAUAAUAUUAUUCCGCCAGGAUAUCGGGAGAUAUUUUAACCAAUUUAUUUUUUAACAAAAAAAUUAAUUAAUUUUAAAAAAGCUGAUGUUGAGGAUUUGUGCGUGUUUGUAAGAAAAAAUAAACCUUUGUUAACGAAAGAUAAUACUGAGUAAAGUUCGAAAAUAUAAAUGUUUUGAAAUACUGUAAUUUUCAUCAAAUAUAGAUCCAAGAACGAUUAUAAAAAAAAAAAAAACAAAACAUUAUUGGUCGAUUUUUCUUAUUAUAAACUCAGGUUAAUCAGAGAGAGCUUAUAGAACUGUCUAACUUCAUCUUGUCAACUGACUCCCAUAUGUCUGUAAGUAUAGGAGUAUGUGAGCCCCUAAAUAAAUUGAACUGGUUGGACGAGAGUAAACGUGUGAUCACGUAAGACAAAAGUCAUAUUUAUAUCAAUAACAUCUAUACUGGUGUCUCAGGCUAUUUGAUCGAACCAUAUUCGUUUGUGUCGUCAUUAUAAUAUGUGUCAUUAUGAGGUGUGUAACGAUUUGGGCACGUAAUUUGUAUAAGAAUUUAAAACUAAUAGCUAUGCUACCCUACGAGUAAUUUAAAAAAAAAUAUAAUUUUUUUUAUAUUUGCAUACUUAUAUAAUUAUACCAUCGUGAAUUUAGGUAAUAUUUAAUUUAAAUUUAUCAAAAGAUUAUGCAACCAAUUAUUUAAUUUUAUUAUAUAUUUAUAUAUUUAUAUAUAUUUAUUUGAUAUUAUUCUAUCUAAUUCUGAUAAACAUUUAUUGACUAGAGCUGCUUAUCGAUCUAUCGACGGCUCUCUCAAUUCCCAAAACUACAAAUUAAAUAAAUACAUAUUUCAAUAUUCUUGCUACUCCAUAAUUGUACUUAUGUUUCAGUUCUAUUCCCAAGUUUCGUAAAUUAUUAAACAAUCAUAACUUGUGUCUUAUAGAAUUCAUCUUUUACAAUCAGUUACUUUGCAUACGUAUACGACAAAUAAUUCACUUUUUUUCAACAUAAAAAUAGUGUUUUUUAAUGUCAAUGUCAUAAUUCAUAAAACAUAGUAUUUAUGUAUAAUAAAAUAUCAAUAUUUAUUUAUGCACGCGUCUUUGAUGUAUUUAGUUAUUACAUUUUUUAAUCGUAUGACGAUUAUGAUUAUCUUAAUUAUUUUAUUGUUAUCCUAACAGAGGCGUUUGCGAGAAUUGGGAUUCAAGGUCAGUAUUUAAUUUGAAAUGUUCACGAAAAUAUUAUAAGCAAUAAAUAUAUACCAGCAUAAGAUCACGGUUCAUAUGCUUUGCGGUGUUUACACUUAGAAUAGCAAUGAUACACAACCCUACUCUUUGAUUAAGAAUACUUAACUAUAUCGUCUAAAUUCCAUUGAAGUGACUUUAAUUAUAUAUGUUAAGGUCAAUGUCGGUAAAUCAAGCAACAUUGGUAAUUUAGGAUCAUCGGACUUUUUACAAUCAAAGAAUGGGUUUUUUUUUAAUGCAAAACCGCGCCGGUGAACAUUUAUUUCGUUUGCAAUUAGUCUGUAAAUUGUCGAUAUUGACUUUAAUAUUUAUUAUAUAAAAACAAUCUUUAAUGUUUUUGAUAACAUUCUACCAACAGACGUUGGCGGUGAGAUUUGAAAGUAGAAACCUUCUUAAGACAUUAAAGAAAAUUUUAGCUAAUUUUCCAUUUAUGAAAAUUGCAAAAACAGAUUUUAUGCUAUUUACAUUAGUUGUGCUUAGCUGUUUUUUCUGAAACAAAAUCUUCAUCUUGCUCAGCUUCAAAGGUUUUAUUAUUAAGAUGCAGUUCAUUGGGUGAGAAUGUUGAAGUUUUAAAUAAAUGAUAAAUUUAACAAAAAUUAUCAUAUUAUUUGCAUAAUAAAUCUUGUUGAACAAAUUUACCAUACACAGCACAAAAUUCUUGAAAUGCAUUUUUUGGAAGCACUGAUAGGUUAAUUUUUAGUUGAAAUAUUUUUUUUUUGAAAAAUGUCCCAAAUCUUUAUCAGUAGCCUGAUCAUUGAAAUAAUUAUUAAUACAAGUAAUUGUUAUAUCUUAACAUUUAGAGUAUGAGUCACAUUUAAAUUUAUUAACUGAAUUUGUAAUUGGUUCAUCAUUAUAUAAUUCUUCAGAAAUUUCUUUUUUUUUUCGAAUACGAUUGAUUUUAAGUUCAGAAAAAUAAGCUGAUUAUUUCCUAUGAUAAAAUGAUGAACCUCGUGAAUUAAUUUAUCAUAUGUUUUAUAAUUUUGUCUUACUUACGUUAAUUUUUUUUGUGUUUCUUCAAUUCCUUUCACAGUAGCUAAAAGAUCUAAAUCUCCACUCAGAAUUUAAAAUGAAAAUUGUUAAAAAAAAUGAGAAUAUAUAUUAGCUAAUCCAGAUCACUAUCAACUAUAACACAAUAUAAUUUACUUUUUAAAUAUUUAUUGUCAAUAAUUGACUAAUAAUUAUUAUUAUUGUAAUUUAUAAUAUAAGUUACGUUAAAAAAUAAAAUAUUUUUAAAUUCACUAACAAGUAGCAAUAAGUCAAUUAACGUUGAAACGUAAAAUUAAAAAUACAACUAUUUCUCGGCAGUGGGUACUUACUUUCUUCAGAGAAAUCUUUUGUAGAAGUUAUAGAUAGAAGAUCUACAGUUAAACUUAAAAUACUGUUAGUCUUGCGAUAUGUAUUAAUUUUUAAAUUUGAACUUGACAAUUUUCUUUUUUGAAAUGUACUUAAAUGCAAAUGUUUGUUGUAUUUAGUCAAAUGUGUCAUGUCAAGCACAAUAACCCAUUGAUCAUUGUACUACUAACUUAAUAGAAUACCUACCUAAGGUUGGGCUAUAUAUAUUAAAUCUGAAAAAAAUAUGGAAUAAUAGAUUAUUGUAUUCUCUAUAUUUUAAUGGAUGUAAUUCUAUUUUCAAAAUAUUUUAGUGUGAUAUCUCUGUUACCGUAAUAAAUUAAUAAUUCCCUCCCCCCCCCACAUACACACACAAAUAAAUAUUUGCGCCAAUUGUCUAUACUUAAAUAGGUGAUACUUUUAAAAUACAAAAUAUAACGGUUAAUAAAUAGUCUUAAAGUUAAUAUGGGUACUUAGGUACAUAUAACGCAUUGUUCGUAUUCUUAUUAAUAGCCUUAUUAGUAAGCUGUGCUAGUAUUCUAAUUAAUAUCCUUAUUAGUAAGCUGUGGUAUUAUUCUCAUUAAUAUAAAUUCUCAUGAGUAGCUGUGGUGUUUUCGUUUUAGUUAAUAGUACCUAUAUUAAAAAAUGUAAUUUUAUAAAAAGAAUAAAAGAAAAUAAUGCAGAAAGGUAAUUAGAUCUUUUUUUUUUUUAUGAAUUUUGCAAUAUUUUUAAUAUACGUAGUUUAUAUUCUAUAAUCAUUCUUAAAAUUAUUUUUUAGGUACAUCCGACGCUGCAAUAAAAGCAGGACUUGAAAAGCGUAUGUACUAAAAAAAAAAUUAAAUAUAAUUUUAAUGAUUAUUGCCAUUCCAACGAAACCUUGAAAGUUAAUAAAUAUACAAUUAUCAUUAUUUUAAUUAGUUAUUUAUUUAUAUUUAAUAGUUAAUAUAUAUAUAAAGAAUGAACGUAAGUAUUU
Molecule: non-coding RNA, 5884 nt
Organism: Cinara cedri
Lineage: Eukaryota; Metazoa; Arthropoda; Insecta; Hemiptera; Aphididae
Source: the annotation of a GenBank genome assembly